ACAUAUAGCGAAAAGUGGCAGAGAUGUCAUGUCCGCAAGGGCGCUAUACAGUUGGUGCAUGGUUGUCGUCAGCUCGUGUCGUGAGAUGUUGGUUUAAGUCCCGCAACGAGCGCAACCCUCGUUCUGUGUUGCCAGCAUUUAGUUGGGGACUCACAGGAGACUGCCGGGGUCAACUCGGAGGAAGGUGGGGAUGACGUCAAAUCAUCAUGCCCCUUAUGUCUUGGGCUGCACGCAUGCUACAAUGGCUGGUACAAAGGGCUGCGAAACCGUAAGGUGGAGCGAAUCCCAAAAAGCCAGUCUCAGUUCGGAUUGGGGUCUGCAACUCGACCCCAUGAAGUCGGAGUUGCUAGUAAUCGCAGAUCAGCAACGCUGCGGUGAAUACGUUCCCGGGCCUUGUACACACCGCCCGUCACAUCACGAAAGUCGGUAACACCCAAAG
This 439-nucleotide ribosomal RNA is filed under the name uncultured Actinomycetes bacterium. RNAcentral's name for it is "bacterial SSU rRNA". It matches the Rfam family "Bacterial small subunit ribosomal RNA", at positions 984 to 1426 of the family's 1533-position model. Lineage: Bacteria; Bacillati; Actinomycetota; Actinomycetes. The record is from RNAcentral.